UUACAAACAAAAGUAUAAACAAAAAUAAACAGACGUGUACAUGUACAUCUGUAACUAAAACUUUUGACAAUUAAUAAGAGAUCCAUUAAGUAUUGAGGAAAAGUGUUUUUUUCCCCUGUAAUUAAACUAAUGUUAAUUCAGAAUUUAUUGCGAUAUUUUUAUUAUUGGAAAAAUGUAACAGGGUUAUAAUCACAAUAAUUAAAC
This 204-nucleotide long non-coding RNA is filed under the name Mytilus galloprovincialis (Mediterranean mussel). Lineage: Eukaryota; Metazoa; Mollusca; Bivalvia; Mytilida; Mytilidae. The record is from RNAcentral.